RNAcentral lists this long non-coding RNA (6873 nucleotides) under Solanum lycopersicum (tomato). RNAcentral's name for it is "long non-coding RNA (SLYC_LNC000768)". Lineage: Eukaryota; Viridiplantae; Streptophyta; Magnoliopsida; Solanales; Solanaceae. The record is from RNAcentral.
GUCCACAGACCUCUAAGAGUACAUUAGUGAAACUCGACGGGACAGGGCCCCGCCAUACCCAUAGACGAACAAAAGACUACACAAAAGUUAUGUACCAAAACGACUGGGCUCCGGAACAGUGGAGCUCUCCCAAUCAGCAGAGUAGAUAUCCUAGGCGGGAGGAUCACCGAACUGCGCGUCUACACCUGCGGGCAUGAAACGCAGCCCCCCGAGGAAAGGGGGGUCAGUACGGACAAUGUACUGAGUAUGUAAAGCAUAAGGUAAAGAUGACAGGAUACCAAUGUGGCAAGUCGAAACAAAAUAUCGCUACACAUAUACUUUUUAAGUGAAAAUCAUGCAUAUAUUUAACAUUUAAGGUGCCCAGCUUCCCUAGUAAGGGGCUCGGCAAAAUAAUCAUCACGUCAUCUCCGUCAUCAUCAUCAUAACCAUCCUCAUCACCAAUCAUAUAUAUAAUAUACAUACCCGGCCCUCUAGUGAGGAACUCGGUGACAUAUGCAAGAAACUCCGCACGAACAUUACCCGGCUCGGGACUCGGUGAAAUGAUAAAUGACUCUAUGCACGAGCAGAAUAUUAUGAGCAACCAUAUGCAAUUAAAAUCAUUUCUUAUAACUCAAUAGAACAAUCAACGUGAACCAGCAAGGAGUAUUACCAAAGAUUAAUGUUUUAUCAAGAUUAUGAACCUUUAAUACGAUAUGAAAACGUAAAAUUUCAAUGACUCUAAGAAGCAUUACCAUAGAUAUUAGAGAUCAUCAUAGCCUUAGACAUAACCGAUAUAUAGAGGAAUAAUUGUGGAAGCAAGAAUAUACAUCACCUAGACGCUUUAGAGGUAAGUAUCAAAUCUGUCCGUUAUUCGCUUAUUUUUAAAAGUCAUGCCAAGCAAAGAAAGAAGGGACAGCGUUACAUACCAUAUAAUUGAGCCGCACGUCCAAUAUUUACUGCUCAAGCUAUUAAUCUAUAACAAGCAACAAUCGUGCCGCAAUUAGAUAAACAUCGUGCUUUACUUUCUUGUAAGCUAGCUAAUAAUCUAACGAAAAUUCGGCAGCACCUCCCCUAUUUUCCUUACUUCGUCCCAAUCCGACAACAAUCCAAAUUAUCCACAGCAAUACCAAUAACACAUAUAACCCAAAGAAUCAUAUAAACAGCCCAAGCACCAACAUGACACCACUAAUAAUCCGAUUAUGGUUUCCAUUCAUACUUAGCACAUUCAAUAACUAAAACAAACUUCCUAAGCUACUGGUCACGCCCCCUUCUUAAAAUUAAUGGAUAAUUAACAAGGGUAUUCUAAAGAAUUAACACACCAAACAAGGAGAUUACUAACCAAAUUAUUUGCAGCUGCUGGCCAAGAGUUGCAGGGUUGGUUCUCCAUUUCCAUGGCUGCCUAAGACAAGUGGUGAAGAAGAAGAUGAUAUGCAGUAAUGCAUUUCAUCACUUUAUAUAGCAUGGAGUGGAUUUCUCCACCUCAUUUAAUAGUAUGAAGUGGAGGCAGCCCCCCUCUACACCUGUCCACUAAGGCCAGCACACAAUCUGAUCCCUUUUUAAUUUUUGCCUUGAGUGGUGGGGCCCAUUGGAUUAAAUCAAUCCAAAUUAGCCACUAAUUAAUCCCUCACUUAAAGUUAAUGGCACUUACAUUAACCAACUCAUACUUAAUAUCACAUUUGGAAAUAACAUCCUUGCCUAAUAUUUCUUUACGUCUUCUAGAUCACGAUGCGCACUACGUAUAAAAAAAAUACGAGGCAUAACAUAGACUUUCUGGUAGCCAAUGAUCUAAAAGAGCUAGCAGUGCAAAGAUACUCAAAAGUGGUUCGUGCACAUAAAAAAACGGUUGGACUGUGUCUUUCUCUAUUUUGUUCCUUCCUCAGCAAGGUUGGCAGUUUUCUGAUGUAAGCUUCCUGGGUACUGUAAAAAGUUUAUGUAAAUUCCCUAUAUUCAAAGGGAGUUGCUGACUUAUAAUAUCCCCUGAUCCGAGGGUGAGCUAGAAUUGCGUAUGGUAAAGAGGAAAGGAAGAAUCCAUUGUAAAGGAAGACAACAUUUACCAUUUCCGCUGCCUUCCUAAAGGCUUAUUGGUAGCUCUUAGGUUUUCUAUCAGUAGAGUGAUUGCCAAAACCUAGGUAUGUUUUUGGACAAUAAUAAGAAGAGAUGUUGUAUCUUGUACAAACUAUCAUCUAUAGUUUUAGCGACGUGCAAGCCAGUUUCUUCGAGACAAGCCCCCCAACCAUUACACUAUUCCUGCCCUAAAGCAAGGGAAUCCGCUCUAACCUAACACCCUGGUAGGAAUUGAUAGAUUUAAAGUGAAUUAAUCCUUUUAAUACAAGUUCUUUCCUCUAAUAAUGGCUAUGAACUACUCGAACUGAACUGUCAACGCUUUCAAACCAAGAGUGAGAAAGCUUAAUCAAUUAAGAGUAUUUUAGUUGAAUGGAUUAACUUAUUCCCCAUAAGAGACCGGAAAGGAAGCUAUCAAAUUUAGGGUAAACACCAAGGUAGGGUCGAAAGGGAAAACAAUGAUGUUUGAUGUGAACGGAAGCACAUAUUUCACAAAGAAAGAAAAACAGGAAGCUGCAUAGAAAACAUUACCCUCACUCAGAAUAAUAUACUCCUUGGAGACAUGAAGCACAAUAAACCUCCCUACCUUAAGACUUCUAACAUGGUCGAUUCUAGAUAGAGUACGGUAACCCACAACCCCCUACUCUACAAAACAAUGAUUGGAAAAUCUCUUCAUAGGGUACUGUAGCUAUACAACCGUAGUACCAUACGGAUGGUGAGAGUUCAUAAGAGCUUAAAUUUAGACAGGUGAAAACAUUCUUACUCAAAUUAUGAACCCUGAACCUCUUUGCGUAUUCACAACUGAAACUUGAUGGGAAUUCAUAAAUUUAUUAUAGGAAAGAAAAAGCCCAUAUACAAAAAAAAUUCAUAUACACGAGCGUCCUACUACAUUUUCCCCUAGUACAUCAUACUUAAGAAAGUGGUUUCUAGGGUCAACCUGUUUCAUUGCAUGCCAGAUCAUUAUGUGAUGAGACCGUGCAAACAAAGGCAACGAGAAGCGCUAGCCGACACUGGAAAAUGGGUGGGUGUCCAACAAUCAUUCCUUAGCUAAGAAGGAUUCAUUCACUGCAGCUUCUCUUACUAGCAGAUGAAACUAGCAACAUCACAUCAUAUAGAAUACUGAUUAACAGGCAUUCAAGUCUAUCUUAUAGUUUAUGUUGUUGAUCUCAUUGUUUCCGCGAGUGCAUCCUUCUUUUCCAAGCUUUAUUUGUAUCAUAAUUUUUCCAUAUGGGCACCUAUUCAUUUGUUUUGGGGUGUAUAAAGGCAUGAAGCGAUUCAGCUUCUAUUUUUUUGUAUUGACGCAAUUUGAAGAUCAUGAUUUCUCCCUGCCGCUCAAGCGGGAUCAGAUCGGUCUUUAGUGAGAACAUCUGUAAUUCAAUCGGGAACGAAAAGACUUCACUUCAAUUCAAUAAAUGACGUCUACUUCGUAAGUUGUAAGGAAAAAUAUAUAACCAAAAGAAAAGGUGAUAGGGGAGACUAUCCAUUUCACUCUACGUGAGUUAUAAAGUUGAACCCCCUUCACAAUUGAUUAAAAUGAAUGUUUCCCAGAGAUAUUUGUUCAAAUCCAAUGCGUGAAGACAGAGUGAAUUCAACAAAUCUAAGGAAGCAAGUCCUAGGAUUCACUAUUUAUCAAUCAAGAAAGUAAAGGAGAGAAGGUUAUGUUGAAAGUAGUACGUCUGCAAGGAUCUGUCGUUAACGAUUUGAUCGGGACACAUACAAUUGAAAGUCUAAUCCCAACCUCUUUAUAAGGAGCUCCAAAAAAGACUUCACUUUAGAGGGGGAAUCUUCCUACAAGUGAGCACCAAGUCAAAUGUAUUCAAAAAGGGCCAUACCUCUGCCUAGACAAAGGGGACUUUAAGGAAGCCUCGUAGGAGACAUUGAAUGUAACCAGCCUUCAAAAGUCGGAGGAGUCAAUAUCAACUUUCGAUUCAAAUAAGAGAAAUAUUGAGGUUUAUCCGCUUCAAUUUAUUAAGGUAUUUUUCUAUAUAGCCUUCUAAAUAGUAAGAGUAGGAAUUAAAAAGCAAGAACUCUUAACCAUCAUUCCUUAACUCUAAAGGGAGUCAAUGUGUAGAUCAACGACGAAAGGUGGCAUAGCGCCCGAUUGAUUGAGAGUCUUACAGCGCGUCAUGCAAGAUAGUAAAAUCAAUGUAGAAGCAGCCCCCGGAUCCACACAGGGUACUCUAAAGGAUGUUAUCUUUAACCUACUGCUCAACAAUUCUAAUUUGAAAUUGAAAGCUUUAUUGGACUGUGAUGCCAAUCUAAAACAUAACAGGGUUGAAGCAUCUUCUUGGAAUCACUAAGGAAGUAGGAAAAGAUCCAAGGUUGCCUGAGGCCAUGAAAGUUAGGAUGCUUGCUCUUGAAGAUGAACUAAACAUGGUCAUGGGCCAAUUUCUCGGUGCUGUUGAAGGUAUGAAUGAACACUUUACCCUAAUUGGUUGGGGGUGGGCGGGAAUUUAGUAGUUGCUUAGUCGUUCAAAUGUCAGACUGUCGUAAGCUUGACAUUAUUCUAUUUACUCUCUCAAAUGAGGGGCUGGUUUAUUUUGCCAUAGGGGACAUCUCCUGUCAUCCCUUAAAUAUGGUUCACGAAAGGGAUUGACCGGAAUGAUUGUAACGACACACACUAACACCACUACUUAGAGGUGGAAAUAAGGGAGGUCGGAGGAUGACAGAGCAGUCAUUCCUUGCUCUCUCCUUACAUCUUCUGUGAGGGAACCUCCUUUUAGAGUGUGAGUCGUUUCCAAUGCGGUUAAUUGCAAUUAGGCUUUGCCUAUGCAUUUAGCUCCGCUCCAGAUAUAACUCUCAAUGGCAUGUAGCUGUAGGCGGGAACUCUUAUUUUUAUCUUAUACUUUGGCCAGGGUGGUAAUCCCAACCAUAUAAGCAAUGGCAAUCGCUACAAGCAACCUAUUUUGAUACCCUUUUCGUCGUACUUCCUCUUUUCUCUCCCUGCCGAGCUUGUUGAAGUGCCAUUGCAAAGAUCUAGUGUAAUUCCCGUUCCCCGAAGCCAGUCCCAGUAGUGCUAGUAUUAAUAGGAUGAUCUCACUUCUGUUUACUCAGUCACCUCUUUCUUAUCAAAGACUCUGGCAGCUCGAACUCAUCGUCAAGAGCUAAAAUUACUUCAAGAGGACAAAUCAUAUUACAAAUUAAUAAUAUUAUAUAAUUUAAAAGUUGCAAAAUAUGCACACCAAAUUUUAUUUUAAUUAUAGAUAUGUUGAAAAUUAUUUACAAGCUUAUAAACGUGAUUUCUAGGUGAUCGGAGUAGAACAACACAUAUAGGCAUGAUUUUAUAACUCCAAAUGAUUAAAAAGAACAUUUUUAUCCUUAAGCAUGAUUUCUACGUGAUAGGACAAUGCUGAAAAAUUAUGACAUAUUUUUAGCAUCUAACCGAUGAGCCUACUAAAUUAUUAGGAUUUUAUUUUGACAUUCAAAAGUUAUUAAAAUCUAAUUGUUUGAAGCUUAUUAACAAAUUUAGAGUUUCUAAAUAAAAUAAUUAAGCAUGUUGAAAAUUGAUUAGUUUACAAUACCUAUAAACAAGGAUUCUAGGUGGUAGAAAAAUUUAAAAUCGCAUAAUACCUAUCGACAUGAUUUCUAACGUUGAAAAUUAUGAGAAAAUAAAUAAAGAAAAAUCAUGUAAAUCCCCUCACCUUAGAUGAUCCCCCCAUUUUUUUUUUCGUAUGUUGAGAGUUAGAGUUAGAGAGAUAAAAAUAUUGAAAUAACAAUGAAGAACAAAUGGAAAUACACAACAUUAAAAUAAAUGAAACAUCAUUCAAAAUUUCUUCUAGGCGACUCUUCCACAACUUGAACUCUAAGUUCAAAACCUACUAGAAAGUGUAAUAUAACACAUAUAUAUAAUGAAAAAUAUUCAUAGUAUUAAAUAUUCAUAAUAACCGAUUACUUUCACAUAAAAAACAUGUAAAAAUAGGUAAAGAAUAAUCAUUGUCGUACAUAGAGGGAAAGGAAAACGAAAGUAACUCGAAUGCUUCCUAUAAACACAAUCGGAAAAAUAUAAACAAAUAAAGAAAAUUGUCACAACUCUAAUUAAGCAAAGAGGAGACAAAUAAUCAAAACCCAUACAAGGAAAAACAUCAAAGCAAACACGGAUAAUUUGUUUUCCUCAACAAGACGGAACGAAAUCAGCUAAAAAACUUAAUAGACAUAUUAAGAGUCUAUUUCAAAUUCUAGUUAUGGCAAAUAAUCGGUUUAAAAGAAGGAGUAGUACAAUUAAACAAGAUGGAGUGAUUUAAUUAAGGGGAAGAGAUAUUUUACAUAUCAAUUUAACUCUAAUUAGGUAAAAAAAAUUAAUUAAUGUAUAACACAAUAAUAAAAUUGAUUUAUAAAUUUUAAAUUUAUAAGAUUGCUAUCGAAUCAGCAAAUACUACUAGUUAAGAGUGAUAAGGCAAUACUAAGGAGGAGCUUAGCAUGAAACUAUUUGAUAGAGGAAAAGUAGUAUUUUUGCAAGUAGGAAAUUCAAAUAGUAUGAUUAACAACUUUGUCAAUAUCCAUUUACAGAGACUAGAACAUAUUUGAACAUACAUAGUAAAAGAAAGGUGAAAUUCUAGGCAGAGAUUUUGACUAUGAAUAAACCUAAUGAAGAGUUUUGAUACAUCACAGAUAAAACAUGCAUAAAUAAUAUUUUUUGCCAGUAAACAAAUAAGACAAAGUGCAAGCAAACAAUAGGUCAUAAGUUGAGAAAUUGAAUCGGGCUAGAGAAUAACCUCAUUUAUCUACGAAAUGCUUGGCAGAGUAGGCCCUCCGUUCUCGUCGACUACUACUGCUUUCCUGCGUUUUGGUUGGUACCUUCACUGGUCGUUCUCUUGAGGCUGGCAGAUACUGCUU